UCCCUGGUGGCUCAGACAGUAAAGCGUCUGCCUACAAUGUGGGAGGCCCGGGUUCAAUUCCUGGGCCGGGAA
This 72-nucleotide transfer RNA is filed under the name Bos taurus (domestic cattle). It matches the Rfam family "tRNA". Rfam says of the family: Transfer RNA (tRNA) molecules are approximately 80 nucleotides in length. Their secondary structure includes four short double-helical elements and three loops (D, anti-codon, and T loops). The record is from Rfam by way of RNAcentral. RNAcentral also lists the same sequence under 1 other name. Lineage: Eukaryota; Metazoa; Chordata; Mammalia; Artiodactyla; Bovidae.